GUCAGGGGAGUUCUGGGAGUUGUAGUUCCUCUUUCUCCUGCCAUCGUGCAUUCCCUCCGCCCCCUCCCCCAACCUCCCCACACACUUCAUCGCUCAACUGCCAGUGUCGUUGCCAUCAACAUAAACGACGGUAGUAAAUAAUGGCAGUAUGAUUACAUUCAUACUUUAUGUACCACCCUCUCAACAGUGUUGCAAAGGCUGUUAGGAUAUGGAGGAGGCCAAAGUGGCAAUUACUCAGACUGGCGUCCAAAUCUGGAAAUUCCCACACCAGCCUGUUCUCUCCACUUUGCUCCCUCUUCAGAGGGAAUUGGUUUGCAGGGAUUGUAGACUACAGUAAGGCUUCCCCAGAACUUGCAAACAGGGUUCAUUUACCCUCCAUGCAAACAAGGUCAGUAACUCCAGGACUGCAAUAGAAGCAGCCAAGAACAGAAAUAAUUUGAUACUCACAUCCUCAUUCUACAGAAUUUGAGCUUUGCUAAAGAAAACUGAAGUUCCUAUUGAGUCUGCUUUCCCCUUUCUCCCAUGUCUCAGCCGUUCAGAAUGUCAAUAAUUUACUCUAAGACAAC
This 566-nucleotide long non-coding RNA is filed under the name Mus pahari (shrew mouse). RNAcentral's name for it is "lncRNA (MGP_PahariEiJ_G0004982.1)". The record is from RNAcentral. Lineage: Eukaryota; Metazoa; Chordata; Mammalia; Rodentia; Muridae.